Molecule: transfer RNA, 30 nt
Filed under: uncultured Stichococcus
Lineage: Eukaryota; Viridiplantae; Chlorophyta; Trebouxiophyceae; Microthamniales
Description: partial Selenocysteine transfer RNA
Source: RNAcentral
GGCUGGUGGAGGCAGCGGACUUCAAAGCAG